AGGGUUUGAUCAUGGCUCAGAUUGAACGCUGGCGGCAGGCCUAACACAUGCAAGUCGAGCGGAAACGACAACAUUGACCCUUCGGGUGAUUUGUUGGGCGUCGAGCGGCGGACGGGUGAGUAAUGCCUGGGAAAUUGCCCUGAUGUGGGGGAUAACCAUUGGAAACGAUGGCUAAUACCGCAUAAUGUCUACGGACCAAAGAGGGGGACCUUCGGGCCUCUCGCUUCAGGAUAUGCCCAGGUGGGAUUAGCUAGUUGGUGAGGUAAUGGCUCACCAAGGCGACGAUCCCUAGCUGGUCUGAGAGGAUGAUCAGCCACACUGGAACUGAGACACGGUCCAGACUCCUACGGGAGGCAGCAGUGGGGAAUAUUGCACAAUGGGCGCAAGCCUGAUGCAGCCAUGCCGCGUGUAUGAAGAAGGCCUUCGGGUUGUAAAGUACUUUCAGUCGUGAGGAAGGCGUUGGAGUUAAUAGCUUCAUCGUUUGACGUUAGCGACAGAAGAAGCACCGGCUAACUCCGUGCCAGCAGCCGCGGUAAUACGGAGGGUGCGAGCGUUAAUCGGAAUUACUGGGCGUAAAGCGCAUGCAGGUGGUUUGUUAAGUCAGAUGUGAAAGCCCGGGGCUCAACCUCGGAACCGCAUUUGAAACUGGCAGGCUAGAGUACUGUAGAGGGGGGUAGAAUUUCAGGUGUAGCGGUGAAAUGCGUAGAGAUCUGAAGGAAUACCAGUGGCGAAGGCGGCCCCCUGGACAGAUACUGACACUCAGAUGCGAAAGCGUGGG
Molecule: ribosomal RNA, 778 nt
Filed under: uncultured bacterium
Lineage: Bacteria
Description: bacterial SSU rRNA
Rfam family: Bacterial small subunit ribosomal RNA
Source: RNAcentral